CAGUCGAGCGGACAGAUGGGAGCUUGCUCCCUGAAGUCAGCGGCGGACGGGUGAGUAACACGUGGGCAACCUGCCUGUAAGACUGGGAUAACUCCGGGAAACCGGGGCUAAUACCGGAUAAUUCUUUCCCUCACAUGAGGGAAAGCUGAAAGAUGGUUUCGGCUAUCACUUACAGAUGGGCCCGCGGCGCAUUAGCUAGUUGGUGAGGUAACGGCUCACCAAGGCAACGAUGCGUAGCCGACCUGAGAGGGUGAUCGGCCACACUGGGACUGAGACACGGCCCAGACUCCUACGGGAGGCAGCAGUAGGGAAUCUUCCGCAAUGGACGAAAGUCUGACGGAGCAACGCCGCGUGAGUGAUGAAGGUUUUCGGAUCGUAAAACUCUGUUGUUAGGGAAGAACAAGUACCGGAGUAACUGCCGGUACCUUGACGGUACCUAACCAGAAAGCCACGGCUAACUACGUGCCAGCAGCCGCGGUAAUACGUAGGUGGCAAGCGUUGUCCGGAAUUAUUGGGCGUAAAGCGCGCGCAGGCGGUUCCUUAAGUCUGAUGUGAAAGCCCCCGGCUCAACCGGGGAGGGUCAUUGGAAACUGGGGAACUUGAGUGCAGAAGAGAAGAGUGGAAUUCCACGUGUAGCGGUGAAAUGCGUAGAGAUGUGGAGGAACACCAGUGGCGAAGGCGACUCUUUGGUCUGUAACUGACGCUGAGGCGCGAAAGCGU
Molecule: ribosomal RNA, 720 nt
Filed under: Bacillus sp. BTSD1
Lineage: Bacteria; Bacillati; Bacillota; Bacilli; Caryophanales; Bacillaceae
Description: bacterial SSU rRNA
Rfam family: Bacterial small subunit ribosomal RNA
Source: RNAcentral